GAUGAACGCUGGCGGCGUGCCUAACACAUGCAAGUCGAACGGAGACGAGCUGUUAAGGCCUUCUGGUCAAAGGGGGGAAGGCUGAGUGACGGACGAGUGAGCUGCACUUGGCCUACCUAGCUCAUAAGGGGGGAGAACAGAAAGAAAUAUCUGAUAUUACGCCACAAGGAGACACUGCGAAAUGGCCGACGGUGAGAGGAGAACCGGUAUGAGAUGGACCCGCGUCUGAGUAGCGGGUUGGCAGGGUAAGAGCCGACCAAAGCGACGAUCAGUAGCCGGUCGGGGAGGAUGGACGGCCACAGUGGGACUGAGACACGGCCCACACUCCUACGGGAGGCAGCGGUGGGGGAUAUUGCACAAUGGGGGGAACCCUGAUGCAGCGACGCCGCGUGAGUGAAGAAGUAGUUCGGUAUGUAAAGCUCUAUCAGCAGGGAAGAUAAUGACAGUACCUGAAUAAGAAGCCCCGGCUAACUACGUG
RNAcentral lists this ribosomal RNA (478 nucleotides) under uncultured bacterium. Its description in RNAcentral is "partial 16S ribosomal RNA". It matches the Rfam family "Bacterial small subunit ribosomal RNA", at positions 28 to 507 of the family's 1533-position model. The record is from RNAcentral.